GGCUGCAGAAAUUAUAACUGUACAAAGGUAGCAUAAUAAUUUGUUUUUUAAUUAAAAACUAGAAUGAACGAUUAAAUGAAAUAUAAACUGUUUCAAUUAAAUAUAAAUUUAAAUUUUUAUUUAAGUUAAAAAACUUAAAUAUUUUUAAAAGACGACAAGACCCUAUAGAAUUUUAUUUAUUUUAUUAAUUUAAAUUUAANUAAUUUAUUUAAAUUUUUAAAAAUAAAUUUAAUUGGGGUAAUUUAAAAAUUUAAAAAAUUUUUUCUUUUAAAAACAAUAAUUAAUGAAUAAAAUAUCUUAAAAUUUAAAUUAUUAAAAUUAAUUACCUUAGGGAUAACAGCAUAAUUUUUUUUAAAAGUUCUUAUU
RNAcentral lists this ribosomal RNA (366 nucleotides) under Dacnusa plantaginis. RNAcentral's name for it is "partial large subunit ribosomal RNA". Lineage: Eukaryota; Metazoa; Arthropoda; Insecta; Hymenoptera; Braconidae. The record is from RNAcentral.